GGUGAACGCGGGCGGCGUGCUUAACACAUGCAAGUCGAACGAUGACUCCCAGCUUGCUGGGGUGAUUAGUGGCGAACGGGUGAGUAACACGUGAGUAACCUGCCCUUAACUCUGGGAUAAGCCUGGGAAACUGGGUCUAAUACCGGAUAUGACUCCUCAUCGCAUGGUGGGGGGUGGAAAGCUUUUGUGGUUUUGGAUGGACUCGCGGCCUAUCAGCUUGUUGGUGAGGUAAUGGCUCACCAAGGCGACGACGGGUAGCCGGCCUGAGAGGGUGACCGGCCACACUGGGACUGAGACACGGCCCAGACUCCUACGGGAGGCAGCAGUGGGGAAUAUUGCACAAUGGGCGCAAGCCUGAUGCAGCGACGCCGCGUGAGGGAUGACGGCCUUCGGGUUGUAAACCUCUUUCAGUAGGGAAGAAGCGAAAGUGACGGUACCUGCAGAAGAAGCGCCGGCUAACUACGUGCCAGCAGCCGCGGUAAUACGUAGGGCGCAAGCGUUAUCCGGAAUUAUUGGGCGUAAAGAGCUCGUAGGCGGUUUGUCGCGUCUGCCGUGAAAGUCCGGGGCUCAACUCCGGAUCUGCGGUGGGUACGGGCAGACUAGAGUGAUGUAGGGGAGACUGGAAUUCCUGGUGUAGCGGUGAAAUGCGCAGAUAUCAGGAGGAACACCGAUGGCGAAGGCAGGUCUCUGGGCAUUAACUGACGCUGAGGAGCGAAAGCAUGGGGAGCGAACAGGAUUAGAUACCCUGGUAGUCCAUGCCGUAAACGUUGGGCACUAGGUGUGGGGGACAUUCCACGUUUUCCGCGCCGUAGCUAACGCAUUAAGUGCCCCGCCUGGGGAGUACGGCCGCAAGGUAAACGAAAAUUUGUUUUGGGGGGAGGAGAAA
This 886-nucleotide ribosomal RNA is filed under the name Arthrobacter pascens. RNAcentral describes it as "bacterial SSU rRNA". It matches the Rfam family "Bacterial small subunit ribosomal RNA", at positions 28 to 928 of the family's 1533-position model. The record is from RNAcentral. Lineage: Bacteria; Bacillati; Actinomycetota; Actinomycetes; Micrococcales; Micrococcaceae.